UUAGGUUUUGAAUCAAUAAUACCUUUAUUUAACUAGGUGUUUCCUGAAACUGGGUGAGUGGCAGCUGAACCUGCAAGGCAUCAAUGAGAGCACCAUCCCCAAAGUCCUGCAAUACUACAGUGCUGCAACGGAGCAUGAUCGCAACUGGUACAAGGCCUGGCAUGCCUGGGCAGUGAUGAACUUUGAAGCAGUGCUUCACUAUAAA
This is a non-coding RNA of Cyanistes caeruleus (blue tit), 205 nucleotides long. Lineage: Eukaryota; Metazoa; Chordata; Aves; Passeriformes; Paridae. The record is from RefSeq and is a predicted model, not a curated record.